GGGCCUAUAGUAAAGUGGUAUUACACGUCGUUCGCAAUGACGAGGCGCGAGUUCAAUUCUCGCUAGGUCCACCA
RNAcentral lists this transfer RNA (74 nucleotides) under Candidatus Lloydbacteria bacterium RIFCSPHIGHO2_01_FULL_41_20. Its description in RNAcentral is "tRNA-Ala". It matches the Rfam family "tRNA". From Rfam's summary of the family: Transfer RNA (tRNA) molecules are approximately 80 nucleotides in length. Their secondary structure includes four short double-helical elements and three loops (D, anti-codon, and T loops). Lineage: Bacteria; Candidatus Lloydiibacteriota. The record is from RNAcentral.